RNAcentral lists this ribosomal RNA (330 nucleotides) under Triticum aestivum (bread wheat). RNAcentral describes it as "partial small subunit ribosomal RNA". The record is from RNAcentral. Lineage: Eukaryota; Viridiplantae; Streptophyta; Magnoliopsida; Poales; Poaceae.
AUGAUACAUCAAAUGGCAAAUGUUAGUAUUAGUCUAUUAGAGAGUAGAGACCAGGGUUCCCUUCACUCACCCAUGGACAAUUGGCUACCGGCGGUGGCGCUCCCAAACGCCAUGCUCCCUGACAGCAAGCAACGAUCACAACAGCAGCACCAGCAUUCAAGUGAGCGGCAGCUCAACAGCAAAGCAGCAGCAACUCAACGUCAAGAAAUCGAGCAAAGACAUGAGGAGGUCGAGGAGAGGCUGCUUGGUUUCCCGCUCGAGCGUGUUUGUUGUCGGAGGCCGAGUUCAGGCCCGGCGGUGGCAGCAGGCGGCGGCGGAGUCCGGCAGUAG